RNAcentral lists this ribosomal RNA (450 nucleotides) under uncultured bacterium. RNAcentral's name for it is "partial 16S ribosomal RNA". It matches the Rfam family "Bacterial small subunit ribosomal RNA", at positions 354 to 796 of the family's 1533-position model. The record is from RNAcentral.
GUGGGGAAUUUUGGACAAUGGGCGCAAGCCUGAUCCAGCAAUGCCGCGUGCAGGAAGAAGGCCUUCGGGUUGUAAACUGCUUUUGUACGGAACGAAAAGGCUCUGGUUAAUACCUGGGGCUCAUGACGGUACCGUAAGAAUAAGCACCGGCUAACUACGUGCCAGCAGCCGCGGUAAUACGUAGGGUGCAAGCGGUAAUCGGAAUUACUGGGCGUAAAGCGUGCGCAGGCGGGUUUGUAAGACAGACGUGAAAUCCCCGGGCUCAACCUGGGAAUGGCGUUUGUGACUGCAAAGCUGGAGUGCGGCAGAGGGGGAUGGAAUUCCGCGUGUAGCAGUGAAAUGCGUAGAUAUGCGGAGGAACACCGAUGGCGAAGGCAAUCCCCUGGGCCUGCACUGACGCUCAUGCACGAAAGCGUGGGGAGCAAACAGGAUUAGAUACCCUAGUAGUCC